Molecule: non-coding RNA, 4420 nt
Organism: Vicugna pacos (alpaca)
Lineage: Eukaryota; Metazoa; Chordata; Mammalia; Artiodactyla; Camelidae
Source: RefSeq, a predicted model, not a curated record
CUGAGCUAGGCAUUUAUUUUAAAGCCCUAUUGAAAUUUUGUGAGUGUAUUAUUGGGUACAUACUUAAUUACGAACAAAAAGAUGAUUCUUAGAAUCUGAACAAAAUGCUCAGUUAAGUAUCUGAUACAAAGCAUCCCACUGGCAACUCCAAAGGCUGUCAUUUCCAACAUAGACCCUCGACCUGACAAAUUUUGGCUCCAGAUCAUGUUUUUGUUGUCCACGAGAGCACAGGAGUGAUUCAGUCGUCUCAAGGAGGUGAAACCGUAAUUCUUCCAGGACACCUUUCGCCUCAGAUGGCAUGUGUAUUUUUGUUUACCCAGAUCUUGAAAGGUUGGAAUGAGGAAGAACUGUGGGCUGGGGUUUCAGUUUGGCUGGCAAUUGUUCAGUGUUCAUGGUUGAGAGAGGGGUUGAACUUUCUCAAGGAUCUUCUAUUUCACAACACUAAGUACCCUUAAGCCCACCAGAAUCAUGGUAAAUCCUGCUUCUUGCAGCACUAUUUAGGAAGCUCAACCUCCAUCCACUGUGGCUGUCCUCGGAGUAAGGCCUCCUGGUCUCCCGUGUCAGAAUUUAAUCUCCAGAUAACUUGAGAAUAAGAAAUAUGUUUCAAGAUCCCAAAGCGAUUGCAUUAAGAGUAAGUUGUCAAAAAAAAAACACACUGAGGAAAAUAGUACAUGUUUCAGAAAGAGAAGGGAGGAGAGUUUUUCUCUCCCUUAAGAAACCACAAAUUAGAGGGAGCCUUCAGGACAAGGGGGAGACCAGGAGUCAGAGGACCUGAAUUCUUCCGGCCUCUGCACUGUUGCUCUGGGUGUGUCCCCGUGCAAUUCACUUAGGCUCUCUCACACAGGGAUAACAUAGAGAUAAUAGCACUGAUCCAGCCUGUCUCCCAGGCUUAUGCUGAAGCUCAUGGGAAAGGAUCUUGCAAAAGGAAAAGUAUUAUUCAGAUGUAGUAUGUUUAUAAUUUUUAUUAAAGUCCUAACUGUUCUGUAAAACUACCAAGACAAAAUUUUUUGCUACCCAAUCGUUUUUAAAUAAGAAAUUUUGACACAAAAAAUAAUCACUCUUACAAUCCAUAUAUAUGGUCCUAUUUUACAUUACUCAAAAAGGAAGAGACUCUAUGAGCAGCGGUAAGAUUGUACACUGCACACUUGUGCCUGUUUGAUUAAAAGCAACCAUUUCUGCUAAGUUGAUAAGUUUUAUCCAAGAUCCUUUCAGAUUUCUCUUUGUUUUCUACACUACCCUUCCCCUAACCCAGUUUUAUCAACUUAAAAUAUCCUCUUUUUAGAACAAUCUGAGUUCUCUUUUGAUAAAAUCCGGCAGUUUCAGCUUUGCCAAUAGCCAUCUACACCUAGAUGACAGAGAUUAACUUUAUUUCACAUCCACUGUUUCCUUCAGUUUUAUCUCCCUCUUCCCUUGCAGCUCUCCCCUGGACUUCAAAGCAGCUUUGUGGUUUGUCUUGCAGAAAAAUCAAUGGUUGGGUGAUGAAAAGAGGCUCUUGAUCUCCGCCUGCUGCAGGCCGUUCUAGUAGGCAGCGUCAGUGUGAGAGCCACAGCCAUUCUUCCUUGCAGAGGAGGGAAGUCAAUUGAAUACAUACACCCAAUACCCUUAUAAGGGCAGAAUGGUGCCCAUUUUAAAAAGAAACUAGUCCAUCGUCGGCACAGAAGUGGGCUUCAGUGAGCGUUUACUGAAUGAAUGAAGAUAAUCAGUGUCCACAGCAUAAAGCAUCAAUCAACCAUGACUGACUAAGUACUGGAUAUGUGCCUGGAUGCUGGGAUAUGCAGUGGGUGAUAUUAAAGAGAUGGAGAUGGCACGUCUUACGGGGCACCUCGGUGGGGGAGUUAUAUCUUGAUGCUCGGAUUAGCACAUGAUUCUGAUGCUACUGAACACGUAAGUGCCAUGAUGCAUCUUUCCUCUGCUGCUUAGUUAUUGAUAUUAGUUAAUAAGUUAGUAUUUUGACUAUCUAAGAACUCGUGGGCUCAGGUAAGAGGGAAGAAAUUUUAAUUCUCGACAUUGUUGCUCCCUUUCUGUUUCUGUUCUAGAAGCAGCCUAAUUGCUUCAUCUAAAACACACACACACAUAAUAAUUCCUUGGAACAAAUUUUCUGUUGGGCCUUUUAAGUUUAAAAACUACCUUAAAUGAUUGGAGCAGAGCCGCCAGGUAUGACUGCAAAGCCUGCGUACGCUGCAAGCACAGAUGGAAACACAUACAUAGACCACAAUAACAAUAGUUUCCCCUGGAGGUGUGCAAUACAGCAGCAGCCCUGAUUUGGGAGAAAAUAAAUAUUUUAUCAUAUUAUAAAAAAAAAUCUUAAACGGGUCUCUUAUUACAAACACUCAUACUAAAUGAAAUUGGAGCUAAAAUUUAGCAGGUUAAUUUUUUUUUACUGUUGCUCUAUAUUCUUUCCUUAAGGAAAAUUACUGGCUGAUUCUAUAGGAAUUUCUUCCCUAAGAAUACUUUGUUAUGUUUAAAUGCAUUUGUAAUGGUUGGAAGAGGAGUGACUGCACAUUUUGGGCUGACAGGUUGCUCUAAUGCGGCGUGCAGAACAGCAUGAGACACUGCAACAGAGUGUGGGCAUGAGACUCAUUAGAGGGACCGUGACUUUUCCCUUCCUGGCUGUGCAACAUGGGACAUUUAAUUUAACCUUGCUGAGCCUCAGUUUCUAUAUUUGUAAAGUGGGUUUAAUAAUCAUGUGUGCUUCACAGGGUUAUAGUGAAGAUAAAUACAAUACGGUAUGUGAAGCACUUUACUAUAGGGCCUGGCACACAGGACAGGCUCAAUAUAUGGGGCAGCUGUUACUCUUAAUGAUAGAAGACACCACGUGCCCAUGCUGGUGUCUGCUUUUUCUAAAUUCUCAUGCAGUGGUGAAACUGGGCAAGCAAGAUACAUUUUUUGGCUAAUAGAAGUAGCUUCCCUUAUUCUUGGUGUCUACAGGCCCAGAAAAGGCUAGAAAUAUAACAAAAAGGGAGUAGCUGCCAGCAAUGCCUUCCAGGAAUGAGAAAACGGCCAUGCAUCAAAGUGCAGCAAGAACACAGAAAGCAGCCUGGACUUACUGGGGCGGCAGGGAGAUGGUGUUGCUGAAACCUAGUGAGGAGUAGGAGUUUUACUCUGAUGGGUAGAAGAGCAGGGCACUGCCAGCAGAGGAAAAUGAAUGCCCAGCAGAUGAGGGGAGGUGGGGAAAGUGUGAGGGGGCAAAUGGCCUACCCCGAAUACUUCCCAGGCCUAUGCAAGGAUGCAGACAGAGGCCCUUCCGAACUGUGUGUACAGGGGAUUUCUGGAUUGGAGGCGGGGAUGGGGUGAGGGCACAAGGUCAAGUUAUGCCCAUCCCUCUGGGAGGGGAACUUGGGGCGAGGGGCUGCGAGAGAGCUGGACUAAAGUGUAGAGCAGGACCCAGAGCAGAGGCCAUUGAUGAAUUCUGAACAGCAGCCUGAUCUGAUCAGUUGUAAAUGUUAGGCACUCUCCCUUAUAGCAGAGAAGAGGGUUGAUUGGAGGAACGAUGGGGCAGGGGUGGAGGGUGGAAAGGUGGUCCAGUGAGGCUUCUGUCCAUGUGGGGGCAGAGGGAGGAGGAGGAGAUGGGAAGUUGGCUGGAGACCAAGUGUCUGAACAAAAGGAGGCCCAAGGGGCAUGGACAUUGAAGAUUAGAGACAGAAGAAAAUAAGGAUAUAGAGUCAACAGAACUUAGUGAUUUUAAAAAAGUGUGUCUGUGUUUGGGUGAGGGGACAGAAAGGAAGAAAGGGAAGUCCAGGCUGGCUUCCUGGUUUUAGGCUUCACCAACAAGCUGUGCUGAUGGCGACAGUGGCACUUGGGAAGAAUGGUGCUGAACUGCCUGGUGACAACCCAAAUGGAGGCACAAGAAGGAAGCUGGAUAAAUGAGCCAAGGGCUGGGGCAGCAUCUGGCAGGACGCUUUAGCACACUGGCAGUGGUGGAAGCUAUGGGGGUGGGUGAAAUUGACCCGGGGAGAUGUUAGUCAGACAGGAAAGCUGAGGGUCGGACUGAAAAACACCUAAUGAAGGAUGGGCUGAGGAAGAGAUCAGCAUAACAAGAGCGUGGAGUUUAGCUGAAGAAAGGAAUUGUUAGAUGUGUCAAAUGCUGUUGAAAGGUAAGUCAUAUAAGGAGUUUUAAAAGUCACUUUAAUCCAUUUAAAUAUCCCUUCCUCGCUGAGACCUUCCUUAAUCAUUCUAUUGAAGAACAUCCUUCUCCCAUUCUCUUUCAAACACUUACCCUAAUUUGUAAUUGGAUCUCUAUUUGCAGAUUAAUUUGUUAAAAUUUGUCCCCUCAACUAGACUACACACUGAAGAGAGCAGGGCCCUGCCUGUCUCUUUCUGUAUCCUCAGUAGGUGCUCAGUAAAUGUCUAGUGAUGUGGCUGAGUGUAAUUUCAGUGGCUAGAAAGCUGGUUCCAUUUAAGCGAGCCCCACCCACCCCUA